This is a long non-coding RNA of Cebus imitator (Panamanian white-faced capuchin), 820 nucleotides long. RefSeq lists it as uncharacterized. The record is from RefSeq and is a predicted model, not a curated record. The transcript has 3 exons. NCBI's taxonomy places the organism in Eukaryota, Metazoa, Chordata, Mammalia, Primates, Cebidae.
UGGCGGGUCGGCGCCGCGCCAAAGGGCUGCGGGCCAGGGGCUGCGCCCGGCGCCAGGGAGAGCACCGCCGAGGUCACCUCUCCAGCCCUGGCCCCACGAGGAACGCGCACCCCGGGCUCCAUGGUCAGGGAUGAUCGCGGGGCGCGGCCGCGGAGAACCACCGGCCGCGGGAUGCCGCGUGGCCAGCGCCGCCCGCCGCGAACGCGAUAAGCGUUCAGAGCUGUUCUUAAGGAUGCCUUAGGCGGUGCUGUGUUCUGGGAUGUUUUGAAAGACUCCACAGUCUGGGUUCAGAACUGCAGUCCAGGAAAUCGGCUCACCCAAACUUCUCCAAUAGAAAAGCCUUUGAGAAACCAGGAACCUGGUGGCCGACAGCUGUGAGCAAAACCACUGCUUCUUGUUGCCAGCUGUGUAAUCCGGCACACUUCAGCGAUGUUAAGAAGGGCUGGGCUCCCGGCUAAACUCCACCCUUAAGCCUGGAACCGCAGCCCUAAGUGAAAACAGUGCCCAGAUGUUGCCUUUUUGGCCUGCCCCACUCCUAUCUUGUACCCACAAAAGACUUCGGCUGGGAGAGCAACACAAGCAACUGAGCGUUGAGGAUACGGCUUGCUGAGCCGCAAGCAGAGAAGCAACUUGGCGUCCACACUAUGGAUAAACACAACUAACUUCAUCCGAUGUGGCUUCCAAGAGGAGCCCGCUUGGGUAUCAGGGAAAGAGCACCUCCCUUUCCAGCCUCCUUUUCUGCUGACAGCCACCCACGGCUCAAUAAAGUCUUCCACAUUCAUCAUCUUUCAAAGAGAUCGUGUCACCUGAUUCUUCCUGG